AAAAAAAUAAACCGUGGGUUUCUGUGUCCAACGUUUGACUGUCCGUUUAUGAAUUUUUUUAUAUUUAGUAUUUUCAUUAUUGUUAGAUGAUAAAACAUGAUUAAUACUUUAUGCGUAACUUAUCUUUUUAAUUUUUUUCAUAAUUUUUUCAAAUAAGACGGACGAUCAAACGUUGAACACGGAAACCCAAGGUUUGUCUUUUU
This is a non-coding RNA of Oryza glumipatula, 203 nucleotides long. NCBI's taxonomy places the organism in Eukaryota, Viridiplantae, Streptophyta, Magnoliopsida, Poales, Poaceae. The record is from Rfam.